RNAcentral lists this ribosomal RNA (509 nucleotides) under uncultured Glomus. RNAcentral describes it as "SSU rRNA". It matches the Rfam family "Eukaryotic small subunit ribosomal RNA", at positions 569 to 1078 of the family's 1831-position model. The record is from RNAcentral. Lineage: Eukaryota; Fungi; Glomeromycota; Glomeromycetes; Glomerales; Glomeraceae.
AGCAGCCCGCGGUAAUUCCAGCUCCAAUAGCGUAUAUUAAAGUUGUUGCAGUUAAAAAGCUCGUAGUUGAAUUUCGGGGUUAGUAGGUUGGUCAUGCCUCUGGUAUGUACUGGUCUCACUGAUUCCUCCUUCCUGAUGAGCCGUAAUGCCAUUAAUUUGGUGUUGCGGGGAAUUUGGACUGUUACUUUGAAAAAAUUAGAGUGUUUAAAGCAAGCUAACGCUUGAAUACAUUAGCAUGGAAUAAUGAAAUAGGACGUUCGAUCCUAUUUUGUUGGUUUCUAGGAUUGACGUAAUGAUUAAUAGGGAUAGUUGGGGGCAUUAGUAUUCAAUUGUCAGAGGUGAAAUUCUUGGAUUUAUUGAAGACUAACUACUGCGAAAGCAUUUGCCAAGGAUGCUUUCAUUAAUCAAGAACGAAAGUUAGGGGAUCGAAGACGAUCAGAUACCGUCGUAGUCUUAACCAUAAACUAUGCCGACUAGGGAUCGGAUGAUGUUAAUUUUUUAAUGACUCA